RNAcentral lists this long non-coding RNA (610 nucleotides) under Oryza sativa Indica Group (long-grained rice). RNAcentral describes it as "lncRNA OsZS97_07G020360". The record is from RNAcentral. Lineage: Eukaryota; Viridiplantae; Streptophyta; Magnoliopsida; Poales; Poaceae.
ACGAAUCAAACGUGCCUAUAGUCGAGGGAGUCUAGAUGGACUUUUUCCUAAUAAUCUCGGUGAAGCAUCAGCAGCCCACGCAGCCCGUAUUGAAGCCCACCCGAUAAAUCUGGCGCGAAUCAUAAAUGGUGAGAACUCGGGUAGAUUGAGCCGCGCGCGGCGGCAGAAGGCAACGCGAAACCCUAAUCCCCAAAUUCGCUAUCUCUUGGCUCUGCCAUCGAAAUUCGAAACCCGCAUAGCUUUGGAGCAAGCCGAAUCUGCAACCAAUCCAUCAGAUUGGAGGGCGUGGCGCAGGGAAGGCGAUCGAUCGACCGAAGCCAUGCCCACCACCGCAGAGGAUCAGAAACAGUGGAAGGUGGUGGAAGUCCAGCGGAUCAAUGCGGAGUCCCAUCCCCCUCCUCGGCGUGACGAUAGGUGUGACGACCUCCGCAACGACGAGGAGUUCCAGCGUGUCAUGGACAACGUCGUCUUCGGCCGGGGUUAUGAUCCCACAAGAGAUGACCUCAGGAUCAGCACUGACCCUACUGCGAUGGUCGAGCUCAUAGAGUACUACCACAAGAUGGGUCUGAUAGAAGAAGUUGCUCAAAGAGGACUGGCAAUUGGCACCUGA